Long non-coding RNA from Manis pentadactyla (Chinese pangolin), 4458 nucleotides. RefSeq lists it as uncharacterized. The record is from RefSeq and is a predicted model, not a curated record. The transcript is spliced from 3 exons. Lineage: Eukaryota; Metazoa; Chordata; Mammalia; Pholidota; Manidae.
UAUUAUGCUCAGCGAAAUAAGCCAGGUGGAGAAAGACAAGUACCAAAUGAUUUCACUCAUCUGUGGAGUAUAAGAACAAAGCAAAACUGAAGGAACAAAACAGCAGCAGACUCACAGAACCCAAGAAUGGACUAACAGUUACCAAAGGGAAAGGGACUGGGGAGGAUGGGUGAGAAGGGAGGGAUAUGGAGAAAAAAGGGCAUUACAAUUAGCACACAUAAUGUAGGGGGCAGGCACGGGAAAGCAGUAUAGCACAGAGAAGACAAGUAGUGAUUCUACAGCAUCUUACUACACUGAUGGACAGUAACUGUAAUGGGGUAUAUGGUGGGGACUUGAUAAUGGAGGGAAUCUAGUCCCCACAAUGUUGCCCAUGUGAUUUUAUAUUAAUAAUACCAAAAAAAGUAAUGGUUACAAUGGCAACAUUUAUGUAAUUUUUACUUAACCACAAUACAAAAUAAAGAAACAGAACUGCACCUGCCCCUACAGUUCUACAGGCCGUUUUUCAGUGAAAACAUGAAGUCUUUAAUGAAAUAAGGCAAAGGGCUUCUCUCAGCAGAAACUGAAAUGCUCAGAACUUGAAAGACCAUUUAUUCUAUUUAUGUAUUUGUUACCAAGUGGCCCCAAGAAAAGCGUGCAUUAUUAUUGCUCAUUAAAGGGGAAGAAGCUCUGUGCCAAGCGCCCUGCCCCACUCAGUUCCCUUCCUGACGGGGCAGCUAAAGUGAAUAGUUAUUUAAGGGCCAGGGCAGGCAGUGUUCCAAAGCGUUCUGAAGUAGAUUUUAAUUUCUAUCCUCAGAGGACUUGCCCCACAGAUACACGCUUAUCUGGGAGACCUCUCGGUUCUGUCCUAGUAGUUAGAACUCAGAUCCUACUGUAUAUAGAAACAGUUUUUCCUCAUAGUUCAGAGUUCAGAAUAAUUAUGUCACUAUCAUGUAACACUUUUCUGGCUAUUAAAAGCUAUGGAAGAUGAUUCAAGAUAAAAUGGAUUAGAUAGGUUUUCUUUUUAAAGUAGAAAAGGUAGAAACCGAAUUCCACUUCAUUAAAACUAUUAUGUUUGUUCCAUUGGGGGAAGGAAAAAGCAAGCCUAUGCACCAGCUUCCCUUCCCUACACUAUGCCUUCCCCCAUCUGACUCUUGUGAGGUUUCAUGGGACAACCAGGUUUCUUGCCUGAUCCCACCUUAAGGAAAACACCACCACCACAAAAGACCCCACUCAGGCCUGGCCAGCCCCACUCCAGAGUUCAUACUGCGUGAGGUCCUUCUUCUGGGGGUGCUGACUCCUUCCCAACGCAGCACUGUUGUUGUUUUCCAUACAGCGAUCAGCAUGUCCUUCAGCACUGCCAGGUUCUGGGUGGCACACAAAAACCACCACUGUCCCUGCAUUCAUAGCAAGAGGGACUGAACUGCUCUGAGUCAACAUUUUCCACAACGGCUUUAUCGUAACAGUCAUCAGAAUCUUUGGUAAAAGUACAGGUUCCCAUGCCCCCGCACAUUGCUAAUGGGAAUGUAACAUGUAUGGCCACUUUGCAGACCACUGGGCCAGUUCCUCCAAGUCUACAGGGACGGUAUGUACAUAUAUACCUAUAUGGAUAAAUCUUGAAUCAUUACACUAAAUGAAUCAGUCAUAAAAGACCUAUAGUGGAGGACUGCAUUUAUAUGGAAUAACCAGACUAGGAAAAUUCAUAGAAACAAGUAGUACACCGGUGGCUGCUGGGAGCUUGGGGGAGGGGAAAUGGGGAGUGACUCCUUAAAGGGUCUGCAGUUUCCCUCUGAGGUGAAGAAAAUGUUUUAGAACUAGUGAUGAUGACUGCACAAUUGUGUGAACGUCCUAAAAGCCACUGACCUGUACGUUCAAUGGAAAGGAUGGAUUAUAUGGCACAGAAUCAAUCAUUAUCUCAGUAAAGCUGUUAUUUAAAAAAUAUUAUGGGUUCCCAGGCUCCACCUUAACUGUUGUACUGAUAGAGUUAACAUCCUAGAUAUCUAACUUCUAAAAACUUUUACCUAUGACUAGGUAAGAGUUCCAUGAUUAAAAAUUCCAAAGGUAAUGCUCUGUUUCAUUCCUGCUCCCACCAUCUGGUUCCCCUUCCCAGAGGCAAAGAAUGCUAUCUGUAGCUUCAUUUUCAAGUGUAGAGCGGCAACUACAUUUUCUUGUUACUGUUUCCUUCUUUUUAUGCCAAGUUAACAUAUAACAGACAUCAUGCUGCUGCAACUCCCUCCCUGCCUGCCUCCCAGCAUGGCUUGGAGUGGAUUCCAUGACUGCACAUAAAGUACAUCUUCAUUUUUUUUUUAUAGCUACUAAGUGGAAUCUAGAUCAUUUGCUUUCUUUUGGGCAGUAAAAUACACAUGACAAAAUUUACCAUCUUAACCAUUUGGUUAAUUUUUUUAAACCAGCUUCUCUAGCGAAUUUUGUAAUUCAACAGGUUUAAAAACCACUGUCCUAUAGGCUGCAGAUACAGGCAGAAUCUGACUUUUUCACAGUGAAUGAUGAGCUCUGAACAAUUUACUCUCUGGACAUUCAGCCAGAAGCAAACAGAAGCAGCCAGCAGCAAAGAGAGUCCACUGGAGUGGGCUGCCUCAUCAUUCCAUUAUACGUAGCAGUGAAGAGCUAGGGAUGCUUAUCAGGCAAUUAUCAGAGAACUUAGGAUCAUUUUCCACCUGACACUGCAAGCUCACCUGUGUUUCAAUCUGGGCAAUUUCAAAGGGUCUGCAGAACACCACAGGAGCACGAUAUUCCAGAAACCUCUGCAAGGACAUGGAGAAAUCAAACCCACCCAAAACAUAGAGCCACUAAAAUUACAGAGUGGUCACCAAAAUAUAUGUCACUAGCAAACCCGGGGAGGAGGGGAGAUGUGAAUGGAAUCUGCAAACAAGAGUUCAGCUGAAGCCACCAGCAGGUACCAGGAGGAAGUUCCACAUUCACCAGCCUACAGUGAGGACAGAUGCCUGCUUUUGGGGGCCCUGCACUCCUAGUGGGGAGAGGGGAUGUCCAGGCAAGAUUUGGACAUUGACUGCAUGCAAGUCUAAGAACAAGCUAAGUGGGACCAAGACUGGCCAGCACUGGACACUGAAAUGCUGAAGGAGUCAUUGGGCCUGAUUCAAUCUCAGCCUGUACAAACAGCUCCAAGAGACAGAACAAAAGGCACUCAGAGUUAAUCAUGCCUACCAACCGGCAUUAGAAAUGAUCACUUUCUGGUUUAAUGAACACCCAGGGUUCACUUAACUCCAUUUCCAGAAAUCCCACACACUAAGCUUAAGGUCUCAGAGAUCUUAAGAGAAACCUCCAAAUCAGAGAGCAGACUGUACAAUCCAGCUAUGCUAAGCUAACAACAACAUUCAACAAUAACUGUAAGAAUUAAGAACAGGAAUAGCAGCUGUCACACCAUCAGUUACAGCCCACCUGGUGCUGUUCUAUGAGCUGUACAUUCAUUAGGUCAUUAAAUCCUCACAACCCUACAAGGUGCCUUCUAUUAUCUCCCUCGACUCCACAUUUCAGUCUUAAGUUUAAUAAUGCUACUAAACACUAUCACCUGAUCAACAACCAACAAAUAUAUAAAAGGGUAGCUCCUUCAAUUUACAUGAAGCAAAUAAGGAGCCUUAAGAGAAUCUGUCCUAAUAUGGAAAGUUUGGACCUAUGGCUCCCAAACCAUGUACCAAGACACCCCAGGGUGUUGCAGCAAACCCACAGGGACACCAUGAUUUUUUUUUUUGGUUUGUUUUUUUUAGGAAAACACAGUGAUGCUCAGCUGUCGAAUGCUGUGCAAAGCACCAAUGUGAGACCAGACUGCAUUACAGUCCCUGCAGUGACAUCUUAUCUUUGCAAAGCUGGGUUUUCAGCAGCUACUGUGAUAAAAGACAAGUACUGUAGAAAAAUCAGCAUGGAAAAAAUAAUUGGUAUGAACCAGGAAAUAAGGGCAGUGGUGUCCAAUCUAGUUCUAAGGUUUGAGACAUUGUUGUAGUGCCCAAUGGGUACACACACUUCACUAGUAAGUAAUUAUGGCUAAGAGUGAAAUAAAAAUAUGUUCUUUUUCUUUCAGUUUAUAUAUAUUGUUGUUUCAAAGGGCUAUUGCAUGUUAGAGCAAAAAUACAUUGUCUGAGCCCGACUCCUUAAUAGACAGAACUGUUAUUUGUGUCAUUUGGCCUGAGUGCACCAUGAAAACUCAUUGAAAGAAGCCACAAUUCCAAGGUGGAAGUCUGGCCAGGCAAUAAGGAGCUCUGGGUUAGCACUUCUGUAACUAUCAGCACGACUGACUUUGCUGUUGGCGCACAGGAAAUCAGAGUAUGCAAAUCUCACAGAAAAAGAGGUCAAUAAAAAGCAUCCAAAGCCUUAAGCAAAGCUCUGGAUUUUAUUACUUUGAGAAACCACCUUCCAUACCCUGAAGAAAAGGGGCAAUAUGGGGCCAGAAGAAUUCCAGAUUAAAAUUGGCAUCUGGCAUAUAAUCAAUGAAUACUGAGAGAACAAACA